AGGGGCGUCGCCAAGCGGUAAGGCACGACACUUUGACUGUCGCAUUCGUAGGUUCAAGUCCUGCCGCCCCUGCCA
Molecule: transfer RNA, 75 nt
Filed under: Christensenellaceae bacterium
Lineage: Bacteria; Bacillati; Bacillota; Clostridia; Christensenellales; Christensenellaceae
Description: tRNA-Gln
Rfam family: tRNA
About the family: Transfer RNA (tRNA) molecules are approximately 80 nucleotides in length. Their secondary structure includes four short double-helical elements and three loops (D, anti-codon, and T loops). Further hydrogen bonds mediate the characteristic L-shaped molecular structure. tRNAs have two regions of fundamental functional importance: the anti-codon, which is responsible for specific mRNA codon recognition, and the 3' end, to which the tRNAs corresponding amino acid is attached (by aminoacyl-tRNA synthetases). tRNAs cope with the degeneracy of the genetic code in two manners: having more than one tRNA (with a specific anti-codon) for a particular amino acid; and 'wobble' base-pairing, i.e. permitting non-standard base-pairing at the 3rd anti-codon position.
Source: RNAcentral